RNAcentral lists this transfer RNA (80 nucleotides) under bacterium. Its description in RNAcentral is "tRNA-Ser". The record is from RNAcentral. RNAcentral also lists the same sequence under 1 other name.
GGAACAGUGGCCCAUGGGGGCAAACUCUUUGCUAGAGAGUCGGGCCAAUAGCCUAGUAGGUUCGAUUCCUACCUGUUCCG